GACGAACGCUGGCGGCGGGCUUAACACAUGCAAGUCGAACGGAAAGGCCCUGCUUUUGUGGGGUGCUCGAGUGGCGAACGGGUGAGUAACACGUGAGUAACCUGCGCUGGAGUGGGGGAUAACUGCAGGAAACUGGGGCUAAUACCGGAUAGGAGCGCCUGCUGCAGGGUGGGGGUUGGAAAGUUUCGGCGGUUGGGGAUGGACUCGCGGCUUAUCAGCUUGUUGGUGGGGUAGUGGCUUACCAGGGGUUUGACGGGUAGCCGGCCUGGGAGGGUGACCGGCCACAUUGGGCCUGAGAUACGGACCAGACUCCUACGGGAGGCAGCAGUGGGAAACAUUGCCCAAUGGGCGGAAGCCUGAUGCAGCAACGCCGCGUGCGGGAUGACGGCUUUCGGGUUGUAAACCGCUUUAGCCUGUGACGAAGCUUGAGUGACGGUAACGAGUAAAGAAGCACCGGCUAACUACGUG
Molecule: ribosomal RNA, 468 nt
Filed under: uncultured bacterium
Lineage: Bacteria
Description: partial 16S ribosomal RNA
Rfam family: Bacterial small subunit ribosomal RNA
Source: RNAcentral